UAUUCUGCCCCAUGGGGAAGGAUGAGAAGCUUCGACUAAGGUUCGACUCGAGCGCCAGCGAGAGAACGUUGCCGCAGGCAACGGCCCGAAGGGCGAGGCGCUUUAGCGCCGAGUAAUCCUUCCACCACCACCA
Molecule: small RNA, 133 nt
Filed under: Klebsiella pneumoniae
Lineage: Bacteria; Pseudomonadati; Pseudomonadota; Gammaproteobacteria; Enterobacterales; Enterobacteriaceae
Also listed under: 1 other name
Description: RtT sRNA
Rfam family: RtT RNA
About the family: This family represents a bacterial cis-regulatory element known as RtT RNA.
Source: RNAcentral